GAGAGAUCGAUGGGGGGAGGCGGGGACGCGCAGCCUUUUUGCCCUGCCUUCGCGAGUCGCGCCAACCCCCCCCCCCCCCCCCCCCCCCCCCCAAAAAAAAACCCCCAGAACCCUAGCAGAGGUCUCGAGCACGAGCCCGCGAUGGCGUCGGACAGCGAGGCGGCAGCGCAUUCUACCUUAACGAGCACGACAGUGGAGGACGGUGGUGCGCACGAGAGCAAGCAGGAACACCUCAAUGGCGCGGUGGGCACCCCCACGGUUGGGCAGGAGGAAGAGAUAAUCGGGCCGGGCCCAGCGCCGGCGAAGCAGCGGCGGAAGCGCCCUCUCCAGUUCGAGCAGGCGUUCCUCGACGCCCUCCCCUCCGCCGCCAUGUACGAGAAGAGCUAUAUGCAUCGGGAUGUCGUCACGCACGUCGCUGUAUCUCCUGCUGACUUCUUCAUCACUGGGAGCGCAGAUGGGCAUCUGAAGUUUUGGAAGAAGAAACCUGUUGGGGUUGAAUUUGCUAAACAUUUUCGGUCUCAUCUCAGUCCCAUCGAAGGUCUAGCUGUGAGUGUUGAUGGAUUGCUUUGCUGCACGAUAUCAAACGAUCGGUCUGUGAAGAUAUAUGAUGUUGUAAACUAUGACAUGAUGUUCAUGAUACGUCUCUCAUUUGUUCCUGGGGCUAUUGAGUGGGUUCAUCGAGAAGGAGAUGUUAAACCAAAACUUGCCGUUAGUGACCGAAAUACACCUUUCGUUCACAUAUUUGAUACCCAUUCUGGUUCAAAUGACCCAAUCAUGUCCAAAGAGAUUCAUGGUGGCCCUGUCAAAGUUAUGAAAUAUAACCACAUUCAUGAUGUUGUUAUAUCUGCUGAUGCCAAAGGACUGUUGGAAUAUUGGUCUCCAUCUACCCUCAUGUUUCCAGAAAAUGAGGUGAGGUUUCGCCUGAAAUCAGAUACAAAUCUAUUUGAAAUUGCGAAAUGCAAGACUACUGUGUCUGCUAUUGAGGUAAGCAAUGAUGGCACUCAAUUUGCUGUCACAUCCCCUGAUCGCAGGAUACGUGUAUUUUGGUUCAAAACUGGAAAAUUAAGACGUGUAUAUGACGAGUCCCUAGAUGUGGCGCAAGAUCUUCAAAGAAGUGAUGUUCCAUUGUAUCACCUUGAUGCUAUUGAUUUUGGACGACGAAUGGCUGUGGAGAAGGAAAUAGAGAAAACAGAAAAUGUUCCACAACCUAAUGCUGUCUUUGAUGAGAGUUGCAAUUUUCUUAUUUAUGCUACCCUUUUGGGUGUAAAGAUUGUGAAUUUGCACACAAAUAAGGUUUCCCGUAUCCUGGGGAAGGUAGAGAACAAUGAGAGGUUUCUGAGAAUUGCACUAUACCAAGGAGACAAAGGCAACAAGAAGGUUAGAAAAAUUCCUUCAGUAGCUGCCAAUGUCAAUGAUAGCAAGGAACCAUUAUCAGACCCAACGCUGCUGUGUUGUGCUUUCAAGAAGCAUCGGAUAUAUCUCUUUAGUCGUAGGGAACCAGAAGAGCCUGAAGAUGCAACUAAGGGUAGAGAUGUUUUCAAUGAAAAACCACCGCCAGAAGAGCUUUUGUCUGCAUCAGACCUAGGAAAAACUGCUACAACAUCAUUGCCUGAUAAUUUGGUGCUACAUACUUCUAUGGGUGACAUUCACUUGAGACUAUAUCCAGAAGAGUGUCCAAAAACUGUUGAAAACUUCACUACCCAUUGUCGGAAUGGUUAUUAUGACAAUCUUAUAUUUCAUCGUGUGAUUAAAGGAUUCAUGAUUCAGACUGGAGAUCCUUUGGGGGAUGGUACUGGUGGACAAUCAAUCUGGGGCACAGAAUUUGAAGAUGAAUUUCACAAGAGCUUGAGGCAUGAUAGGCCUUUUACACUUUCCAUGGCCAAUGCGGGACCUAACACCAAUGGUUCUCAAUUCUUCUUCACCACUGUAGCAACUCCAUGGCUAGAUAACAAACACACAGUGUUUGGUAGAGUUGUGAAAGGGAUGGAUGUUGUCCAGCAAAUUGAGAAGGUCAAGACUGACAAGAAUGACAAACCAUAUCAAGAUGUAAAAAUCUUGAAUGUUACAGUUCCCAAGACAUAAGCGCGUGAUCAGUUGGGUUCGGAAAUUGUGCCUGCACUCCUUGGUUGGACAUAUUGCUAAACCUGUAGAAGCUGGAGUCUUACGAGAUCAGCUGUAAUGCUAUGGGUGAAUUGAGCACACCUUGGGCUGCUCUUGACGUCGGGGUAUUGGAACCUUGCAAUUUUCAGGAUCGAUGGUACCACAGGAAUUUUAGGUUUACUUGCUUUGAUUGCAGAAUUAUAGGGCAGAAGGUUGUAGUUUUGUAACGUUGAGUUAAUUUUAAGUUUAGCUGCUUUGAUUCUAGAAUCCUGGGGCCACCGGGCCUGCGGCGUAGACACUCACUGGUUUUGGGCGCUGACCUGGCCUUCCCCCAAUUUCUGCGUCAGCAAAUGUACGGCCUGGGAAGAAUCUUUGAUGGGUCGUCGCUGUCUGCAGGGUGCAGCUGGCAGAAUGGCCUUUGAUUACACUACACUAAGAAAUUUCUACUUGGGGAUGUGGAUCUCAUCACUUCGAUAACUUAUCUGAAGUACUACGUCGUUUCGCCAAGUAACUGCGUGUACGUCACUUAGCACAUUCAUGUACACCGUAUUAUAUAUCCAUGUACCCUGAAAGAAUGGUUUGAUAAAAAGGAAGAAGACAACGGAGAUGAAAAAAAAGUAAA
This is an RNA transcript of Zea mays, 2722 nucleotides long. It is a transcript of the gene named Putative peptidyl-prolyl cis-trans isomerase and WD40 repeat domain family protein, with no coding region annotated. NCBI's taxonomy places the organism in Eukaryota, Viridiplantae, Streptophyta, Magnoliopsida, Poales, Poaceae. The transcript is spliced from 15 exons. The record is from RefSeq and is marked provisional.